Chiloscyllium plagiosum (whitespotted bambooshark) is the source of this 1844-nucleotide non-coding RNA. NCBI's taxonomy places the organism in Eukaryota, Metazoa, Chordata, Chondrichthyes, Orectolobiformes, Hemiscylliidae. The record is from RefSeq and is a predicted model, not a curated record.
UAAAGCAGAACCGAACCUUGCCAGAUUUUCAGUACACUGAUCAAAAAAAAGAUGUCUUAAUCACUGCAGCGUUAUUUAUUUUCCCAUCAUGUCCGGCCAACCUGCCAAAACGAAAUGCUUGUUUCGCAUUUUGAUUUACUCUUGAUCUCAAGUCCCAAUAUUUCAACUUGGAAUUCAAACACAAUUUUGUUUUUUUUUGUGGAAUUGGCUUUCGCGCUCAACAGCUUUUCACCUUUUCUCCAGACCAACAGAGAUGUUAUUUUUAAUCAGCAAUGUUGAAAAAAAAAAGUGAGACAGUGGUCGUGUCCCCACCCAUGGGCGGAGAGACCCAGGUUCAAGCACCACCUGUUUCAGAGCGAGGUAAUAACGUCUCUGAACAGGUUGGUUCGAAAGAAAAAAAUGGGGUAACUGCAGAGUUCUUGGGCAUUUCAUGUGAUGUAAAUUAGUGUCCCGACCUCUGAGCUUGGAGGCUCAGGUACAGAGCCGAGAACUGUGAAGUCACGUUUCUGAACGAGUUGAUUGGACAAAUGAACAAUUUCAUUAAUACCCCAGUGACUCCCUUAAAAUCUGAUAACUUUUUUUUUAAAAAAACUAAGGAUUGGACUUUGGUCCCGUUUUGUAUUGUUAAUGUUUGACCUCCAAUGAUCCGACAGGCAGUAAGAAAGCUGAAUGAUUUCUUGCCAUGCUGCGACUUCUGUUCCGUGGCCAUUUGAAGAAUACUGUAAGUGAAAAUAAACACUUUGGCAAUACGCAGUGGUUGCUUUACAGCAAGGUGGACAUCUAGUCAAGCAACAACACUGCACCACUACUCACAAAAAAAAUUGGGGAGAUAGCUGCAGUUUAUCGGGAUGGGGAGAAAGGUGCCCAAGAUGCUUAAACGCCCCCUGCAUUUCUCCUUAAUCUGACCACUCCUUCUCUUGAAGGAAUGUGCUUCACUUGUGAAUGUGGUCACUUGAUACACUGCGUGUUCUUUCAGUUACUCAGUUCUGCAGUUUGACCAGUGAAAACUGAUUAGUUGGGCUCGGAUUUCCCUAAAAAAAAUUCACCGGGGUUUCGAACAGCAGGAAGUCUUUCAUAUUACCCCGCCCAAAACGAAUCCCUUGAUGCUCCGGUCUCCGAGUGCCGCAGUGAUUCCUCUCAUUUGCUGAUGUUCACUUUCCUGAUCCUAAUCUCGACCUCGCGGUAGAAGAGUGCAACUGCAGGUAUGGCUAUGUCUGUCACCUGCAAAUGGAGGAAAUGCCAAGGGAUGAAGAAUCUUCAGCUAUAAUGACAGAUCGGAGAGGUUGGAUCUGAUCUACUUGGACAGAAGAAGGCUCAGCGAUCUAAUACACGUUUUCAAAAUAAUGAGGGGAUUGGAUAAAGACACACUGUUCCCACCUGUAAAGGAUCAAGAACAAGAGGGCACAGAUUUGAAGUGAUUUGCGAAAGAAACAAAUGUGAUAUGAGCAAAAAAACUCAUUCCAACAUCAAGUGGUUCAAGCCUAGAAAGCACAACCUGGACAUGUAGUGGAGGCAAGUUCAAUUGGGACAUUCAAGAUGUCAUUGGAUGAGACAAUGCACGAGCCUAUGAAGAAAAGGCAGAAGUACAGCACUAUGCCAUGAUCUUCAUGACAGAGCUGAUGCAAAUAUACAGGCUGGAUGGCCUUCUAUACCAUAGCACUUAUGUUGUUGGGUGACAUGUAACGGGUGCAAAAUUCAAAUUAGUGUAGAUUGGAGAUGAGAUAAAGACAUCCCCUGCAUGGAUCAUAUAAUCCUACCAGCCACUGCUCACAUGGCAAUCUAUUACUGCAAAGGGCACUCAUAGGCAUGUCCAAUGGAAACAUCUCCUGCUGGUGAGGUCAAUA